RNAcentral lists this long non-coding RNA (583 nucleotides) under Mytilus galloprovincialis (Mediterranean mussel). Lineage: Eukaryota; Metazoa; Mollusca; Bivalvia; Mytilida; Mytilidae. The record is from RNAcentral.
GUCCGUCCGUCGUCCACACUUCGGACAAUAACUCAAAAACACUUUCACCAUUUUCCAUGAAACUUAAGUGAAUUGUUUAUAUCUAUUGACGUAAGCUCCCUUUCGUUUUUUUUUUAAUUUCAGAUUUUAAGUUUUGGAUUUAUGGGGCUUUAUUCAUAAAAAGGGGGGAUUUUCAACACUUCGGACAAUAACUCAAAAAGGCUUUCACCAAUGUCCAUGAAACUUUGGUGAAUUGUUUAUAUCUAUUGAUGUAAGCUCCCUUUCGUUUUUUUAAAUUUCAGAUUUUAAGUUUUGGAUUUAUGGGGCUUUAUUCAUAAAAAAAGGGGGAUUUUCAACACUUCGGACAAUAACUCAAAAAGGCUUUCACCAAUGUCCAUGAAACUUUGGUGAAUUGUUUAUAUCUAUUGAUGUAAGCUCCCUUUCAAUUUUUAUAAAUUUCAGAUUUUAAGUUUUGGAUUUAUGGGGCUUUAUUCAUAAAAAAAAGGGGGAUUUUCAACACUUCGGACAAUAACUCAAAAAGGCUUUCACCAAUGUCCAUGAAACUUUGGUGAAUUGUUUAUAUCUAUUGAUGUAAGCUCCCUUU